Molecule: ribosomal RNA, 253 nt
Filed under: uncultured bacterium
Lineage: Bacteria
Description: partial 16S ribosomal RNA
Rfam family: Bacterial small subunit ribosomal RNA
Source: RNAcentral
UACGUAGGGUGCAAGCGUUGUCCGGAAUUAUUGGGCGUAAAGAGCUCGUAGGCGGUUCGUCGCGUCGGCUGUGAAAUCCCGAGGCUCAACCUCGGGUCUGCAGUCGAUACGGGCGGACCGGAGUUCGGCAGGGGAGACUGGAAUUCCUGGUGUAGCGGUGAAAUGCGCAGAUAUCAGGAGGAACACCGGUGGCGAAGGCGGGUCUCUGGGCCGAUACUGACGCUGAGGAGCGAAAGCGUGGGGAGCGAACAGG